Molecule: ribosomal RNA, 502 nt
Filed under: uncultured Actinomycetes bacterium
Lineage: Bacteria; Bacillati; Actinomycetota; Actinomycetes
Description: bacterial SSU rRNA
Rfam family: Bacterial small subunit ribosomal RNA
Source: RNAcentral
GUGGAACACGGUGUCCGUAAGGGCCCAUGACAGGUGGUGCAUGGCUGUCGUCAGCUCGUGUCGUGAGAUGUUGGGUUAAGUCCCGCAACGAGCGCAACCCUUGUCCUAUGUUGCCAGCGGUUCGGCCGGAGACUCAUAGGAGACUGCCGGGGAUAACUCGGAGGAAGGUGAGGACGACGUCAAGUCAUCAUGCCCCUUAUAUCCAGGGCUGCACGCAUGCUACAAUGGCCGGUACAACGGGCUGCGAUCCUGCGAAGGUGAGCGAAUCCCACAAAGCCGGCCUCAGUUCGGAUUGGAGUCUGCAACUCGACUCCAUGAAGUCGGAGUCGCUAGUAAUCGCGGAUCAGCAAAGCCGCGGUGAAUGCGUUCUCGGGGAUUGUACACACCGCCCGUCACGUCACGAAAGUCGGCAACACCCGAAGUCAGUGGCCCAACCCUUUUAGGGAGGGAGCUGCCGAAGGUGGGGUCGGUAAUUGGGACGAAGUCGUAACAAGGUAGCCGU